This 929-nucleotide ribosomal RNA is filed under the name Streptomyces sp. LK1313.2. RNAcentral describes it as "partial 16S ribosomal RNA". It matches the Rfam family "Bacterial small subunit ribosomal RNA", at positions 26 to 970 of the family's 1533-position model. Lineage: Bacteria; Bacillati; Actinomycetota; Actinomycetes; Kitasatosporales; Streptomycetaceae. The record is from RNAcentral.
GCNCNUNCGNUGUGGGNCAUCNCUCNAANACAUGCAAGUCGAACGAUGAAGCCUUUCGGGGUGGAUUAGUGGCGAACGGGUGAGUAACACGUGGGCAAUCUGCCCUUCACUCUGGGACAAGCCCUGGAAACGGGGUCUAAUACCGGAUAUGACACACGACCGCAUGGUCUGUGUGUGGAAAGCUCCGGCGGUGAAGGAUGAGCCCGCGGCCUAUCAGCUUGUUGGUGGGGUGAUGGCCUACCAAGGCGACGACGGGUAGCCGGCCUGAGAGGGCGACCGGCCACACUGGGACUGAGACACGGCCCAGACUCCUACGGGAGGCAGCAGUGGGGAAUAUUGCACAAUGGGCGAAAGCCUGAUGCAGCGACGCCGCGUGAGGGAUGACGGCCUUCGGGUUGUAAACCUCUUUCAGCAGGGAAGAAGCGAGAGUGACGGUACCUGCAGAAGAAGCGCCGGCUAACUACGUGCCAGCAGCCGCGGUAAUACGUAGGGCGCAAGCGUUGUCCGGAAUUAUUGGGCGUAAAGAGCUCGUAGGCGGCUUGUCACGUCGGAUGUGAAAGCCCGGGGCUUAACCCCGGGUCUGCAUUCGAUACGGGCAGGCUAGAGUUCGGUAGGGGAGAUCGGAAUUCCUGGUGUAGCGGUGAAAUGCGCAGAUAUCAGGAGGAACACCGGUGGCGAAGGCGGAUCUCUGGGCCCGAUACUGACGCUGAGGAGCGAAAGCGUGGGGAGCGAACAGGAUUAGAUACCCUGGUAGUCCACGCCGUAAACGUUGGGAACUAGGUGUGGGCGACAUUCCACGUCGUCCGUGCCGCANCUNACGCAUUAANUUCCCCGCCUGGGGNGUNCNGCCNCANGGUUAAACUCAAAGGAAUUGACGGGGGCCCCCNCAANCCCGGGACAUGNGGNUUAUUUCACNCACCCNAAAAACU